GCUCCACUUUCCAGAGAAUUUUGCUAUGCGCUGACGCUGGCGACAGUUUUGAUCUGAAUCUUGCCCACGUGGCUUGCGUUAGUCUUCUCAUUCGGUUCGGUGAAGCCGGUCUGAUUGAUACGAAGUCCAUUUGUUCUCCAUUUCCCGACUUCUCACAUUGUUUCAGGAACUAAACAAGAAACCUGCAUUUAGGAAUACUAAUUAAGAAUCUACUAAAGAUAAUGUUCAAGCCUUAACCUUUCGGAAACCUCUGUAUAUAAAUUAAAGCUACCUGCCCUAAUCAUGUGAUAAGAUACAUGAUACCUGAUGGAAGCACCAGACUCUUGGUGGCAAGUAACUUUAUUAGACUCAAUCUGAACGUAUUGAAAGCCUGUGUUACUAUUCUUGAUUCAUCUGCUGCCUUUCUAUCCAAAAGCAAUAAACUGAAAUUACACACAUCAUAAACCCAGACAUACACAUAUGUACCGUACGGCAAGACAGUAGCCUUCCUGUUUGAAGUCAGUACCCUCCGUAAAGAGAAGUGAAUGUUACCACGUAUUUUGGAUUCCCUUUUAUUUUAGUUCUCCUUUUGAUAAUAAAUCUUAUUAUGAUAAUAUAUUUUUCAAAUAUAUAUAUAUAAGUUAAUUCUUUAGAUAACGUUUUCUUUUAAUUUUAUGUGCUGUAUCAAUCAUUAGGUUUUACU
Molecule: long non-coding RNA, 682 nt
Organism: Stegodyphus dumicola
Lineage: Eukaryota; Metazoa; Arthropoda; Arachnida; Araneae; Eresidae
Source: RefSeq, a predicted model, not a curated record